CGGGGCGUAGCGCAGCCUGGUAGCGCACUUGCAUGGGUGCAAGGGGUCGAGUGUUCGAAUCACUCCGUCCCGACCA
Molecule: transfer RNA, 76 nt
Filed under: Pseudomonas denitrificans (nom. rej.)
Lineage: Bacteria; Pseudomonadati; Pseudomonadota; Gammaproteobacteria; Pseudomonadales; Pseudomonadaceae
Description: Pseudomonas denitrificans (nomen rejiciendum) tRNA-OTHER
Rfam family: tRNA
About the family: Transfer RNA (tRNA) molecules are approximately 80 nucleotides in length. Their secondary structure includes four short double-helical elements and three loops (D, anti-codon, and T loops).
Source: RNAcentral